AGUCCCACACGAUGCCCUCAGCGUCUCCAGCGCAUUUCACAGACCUGAAGACGGAGGGAUGGCGCCAGGCCCACUGACACCCAGCCCUGCUUCCUCCGCCCCCCUCAGUGUGUUGAACCCAACCCUGCCUGGCACCGUCGUCAAGUCUAUGCAGUCCCUGCUCCGGGCUGGACAGCACUGGGGCCCUCCUGCUGCAGGGCUAAAGCGGGUGACAUCUCCCCACAAGUCUUCCUCUGGUUGCAGGGCUGGAAGGGGUCAGCUCUCUCUUCUUAUCAAAUGUCCACCCGCUAGCUGGGGGGAAAGGCCGCCGAGUGAGAACGACCUGCUCUGAAGUAGCCGGGAGAGUCAGAACGUGUGAACAUCGCAUCCAUAUCCCUCAGUAUCUGAGCGGGGAAACGGAGACCCAGAAGAGGAUAGAGCCUCAGCCAGGGAUGUGCGUGCCGUCACGGAACUCCUGCGGAGAGCCGAUUGGGUGCCAGGCAGCGGUCCAGAGGACUCCAAGACUCUAGAAGAUGGUGGUGGAGCUACAAGAUAGGAGGAGCCUGGGUCCCCUGGGUAUGCGAGGCCUCCUGCUGACGAGGACUACCUGCUCUGUAUUUUGUGAGCCAGAAGUAAACCUGUUUUGUUAGGCUGCUGAGAUAUAUGGGGCUUAUUUGUUACAGCAGCUAAUACUGCCCUAAUUCAAGAGUUAUGUAGCAAGUAAACAAAAGAGCUAAGAUUUGAACCUCAGUGUUUUCGACUGCCUGGAAUGUGGCCAGACAAGGUAACCUGGAUGGUGUUAACACUGGCAACCAAGAAUCCAGUUAUAGGAGUAGGUGGAGGGUGAUCAGCCUGCGAAGGGAAGGGAGACUGCUCUUAUCCUGUCUUGUGGGAGAAUAAUAAUACUGGCAAAUGUUUACUGUUUACCAUAUGCCAGAUGGUACGCUAACAGUGGAUUAAAUCAUUUAAUCGCAAGAUGUCUCAGAGGCGGGUGCUACUAUUAUUAUCCCCACUUUACAGAAGGGGAUACUGAGGCACAGAUGGGCUGAGUAACUUGCCCAAGAGCUAAUAACUAGCAGAGUGGGAUUUGAACUCAGGCUAUCAGGCUUUAGAUCCCAUGCUCUUAUAUGCUGUGUCCUGCGAGGCUCCUACAGGCAGACCAAGGCAGACAGCAACUCAAAAAUGAGACAGUUCUCACAGUCUCACAGUCUCACACAGGGAGGAAGUGCGUUCUCUGCCGCUGGGAGCAGAGAAGCAGAUACUGGAAGCCCAUCUGUUGGGGGAAAUCAAUGCGGGGUGAGGCUGGACCGAGUCAGCCAGGCCUUUCUUACUCUCACUCUGGGAGUCCAAGAUUCUCUGUCCCCAUGCCCGGGUCCCCUCUCUCAGGUCGCUGGAACCAUGCUAUGCCCUUAGCACAGGCAAACCCCAAGGGUAUCCUCAACAAAGCCCUGGCCUGGAAGGAUGCCAUUAAAUAGUGAUCGUGCCUGGGUGGGUCCCCUCUCUGGGUCUACUCUAUUAUUAAAAAUCCCUGUGAAAAAGCAGCCACGAGGUGGAAUUUCAGGUACCGAGUGGGGACACGGAGCCCCUCUGGCUUCUCUCACCUGCUUCACUUUGCUUCUGUCAAGGGAGGGGCUGGAGCUUCAUUCCCUCAGCCUGCGUGGCUGAGCCAGCUCCCCACACCCUGCAUUCUCCGCAUGCCCGCCUCCCCGUUUCUCCCCUCUAGCCCUCCCCACCUGUGGGGUCAAAUAAAUUGUCUCAAGACCAGAUUUGACCUGAUCCUUGCCUUGUUCUGCAUUUUCAGUGGUUCCCUGUAUCGGCCUGUGGUGUUUUCUCCUGCCCAGCAUCACUUUCCCUUUCCCCAGGGAACGGUCCCUCUCUCAGUCCAGUGGUUCAGUAGGGCUGUCCCCACUCUGGCUUUAAGCGCAGGUCUGACCCAGGGCAGGCCAACCAGGGGAUCCAUCCCAUCCGCCAGGUCACCGUUGACUGGUUCAGAGAUGAACACGUGACCAAAGGUGACCCACUGAGAUCUUGCCUUAGGACUUCUGCUGAACUUAUCAGGAAAGAGACACCUUCUGACCCCUGGGCUGCAAAGCUGGAGGACACGGGCCUGGAGCUGCUGGGGGCUGGCUGAGCCACAAUCGGGAGCACCUGACCGAGAAUGAAGCAACAAAGAGACAGGAAGAGCAGAAAGAUGGAAAGACUUAUGAUCCCAAGCACCUGGCUCCAGACAUGCCGAAAGCCAAUUAUAU
This is a long non-coding RNA of Mesoplodon densirostris (Blainville's beaked whale), 2228 nucleotides long. RefSeq lists it as uncharacterized. The record is from RefSeq and is a predicted model, not a curated record. Lineage: Eukaryota; Metazoa; Chordata; Mammalia; Artiodactyla; Ziphiidae. The transcript has 3 exons.